This 465-nucleotide ribosomal RNA is filed under the name uncultured bacterium. Its description in RNAcentral is "partial 16S ribosomal RNA". It matches the Rfam family "Bacterial small subunit ribosomal RNA", at positions 338 to 795 of the family's 1533-position model. The record is from RNAcentral.
CCUACGGGAGGCAGCAGUAGGGAAUUUUCGUCAAUGGGCGCAAGCCUGAACGAGCAAUGCCGCGUGAACGAGGAAGGUCUUCGGAUCGUAAAGUUCUGUUGAAGGGGAAAAAGAGCGGAGAGAGGAAAUGGUCUCCGAUUGAUAUUACCCUUCGAGGAAGUCACGGCUAACUACGUGCCAGCAGCCGCGGUAAUACGGAGGUGGCGAGCGUUAUCCGGAAUGAUUGGGCGUAAAGGGUGCGUAGGCGGCCUGCUAAGUCUGGAGUGAAAGGUACCGGCUCAACCGGUACAGGCUCUGGAAACUGGCGGGCUAGAGAGCAGGAGAGGGCGGUGGAACUCCAUGGGUAGCGGUAAAAUGCGUAGAUAUAUGGAAGAACACCAGUGGCGAAGGCGGCCGCCUGGCCUGUUGACUGACGCUGAGGCACGAAAGCGUGGGGAGCAAAUAGGAUUAGAUACCCGGGUAGUC